This 429-nucleotide ribosomal RNA is filed under the name uncultured bacterium. RNAcentral's name for it is "bacterial SSU rRNA". It matches the Rfam family "Bacterial small subunit ribosomal RNA", at positions 997 to 1426 of the family's 1533-position model. The record is from RNAcentral.
AACUAAGAGAUUAGGUGUUCCCUUCGGGGACAGAAUGACAGGUGGUGCAUGGUCGUCGUCAGCUCGUGUCGUGAGAUGUUGGGUUAAGUCCCGCAACGAGCGCAACCCUUAUUGUUAGUUGCCAGCAUUAAGUUGGGCACUCUGGUGAGACUGCCGGUGACAAACCGGAGGAAGGUGGGGAUGACGUCAAAUCAUCAUGCCCCUUAUGACCUGGGCUACACACGUGCUACAAUGGAUGGUACAACGAGUUGCGAACUCGCGAGAGUAAGCUAAUCUCUUAAAGCCAUUCUCAGUUCGGAUUGUAGGCUGCAACUCGCCUACAUGAAGUCGGAAUCGCUAGUAAUCGCGGAUUAGCAUGCCCCGGUGAAAACGUUCCCGGGUCUUGUACACACCGAAUCGAAUUUCCGCGGGCCCCAUGUCGGCCCGGAA